This 307-nucleotide RNase P RNA is filed under the name uncultured Anaeroplasma sp. RNAcentral describes it as "Bacterial RNase P class B". It matches the Rfam family "Bacterial RNase P class B". Rfam says of the family: Ribonuclease P (RNase P) is a ubiquitous endoribonuclease, found in archaea, bacteria and eukarya as well as chloroplasts and mitochondria. Its best characterised activity is the generation of mature 5'-ends of tRNAs by cleaving the 5'-leader elements of precursor-tRNAs. The record is from RNAcentral. Lineage: Bacteria; Bacillati; Mycoplasmatota; Mollicutes; Anaeroplasmatales; Anaeroplasmataceae.
GCAGAAAUGUUAGGAAAGUCCAUGCUAGCACAGUCUGUGAUGACUGUAGUGUUUGUGCUGAUUGAAAAAAUAAAAUCAGGUACAUCUAUGAUGUAACGGCGAAAGAUGACCUAAGGCUUGCUAUGGUCUAUUUCAUAAAGUGCCACAGAGACGAGUAGAAGGAAACUUUGAAAUGAAACGUUGGUAAACCCCUCAAGCUAGAAACCCAAAUUUUGGUAGGGGAGCUAUAUGAAUCUAAUUAAGAAGAGGAUUAUGGAAGGUUUAUACCUUAGAUAAAUGAUUAGCGAAUACAAAACAUGGCUUAUAG